UAAACUAAAUGAUUGUAAAUGGUGUUUAUGUUCCUCUGCAGAUACUGGCCCAAAACCAAUGUACAUAAAUUAUUUGCAGGUUGUCUGUCCCAACAUCUGUUUGUCUAUUGCAUUUCUUCUGUGGGGAGUUAUUGAAGGUAAGUAUCCUUCUGCAUGUAUUGUUAGGUUAUAUUUACCCAUUUUUCUCUCUCUGUUGAUGACUUUGUUUUGUUGUUUUUUUACUGCUUUGUUCAGGGUCUGUAGUUGAGGUAACGAUGUGUGUGACAAUUAAUCUGAGUCGGAUCAUUUUGUUAUUUCUUAUGGCCCCAUAUUUCAAUUGGAAUACUACUGUUUCUGUUAAUUUUCCAGGUUUCAUCCACAGAAUGAUUGAAUUUGUAGCGAUUCCCAUUGCAUAUCUUCUGAUUUCCACAGCAUUUUGCUCAGCUGUUCUUUAUGAUCUCUGGAAUACAUCUCAGUGGACUGAAGUUGUUCUUGUCAGUGUUGGGAUUAUUCUGCUGUCAUCCAUGCCUGCAAUUUUUCGAGCCUUAAACAACGUUUGCUUCACACAAUUUUUUGAUAUACAUUUGUCAGUGCAAUUUAUUAUAGAGAAGUUAGGACACGUUCUCAUGCAGUCAAGCAACUUUCUUCAAAUGCGUCUUCUCUUCUAUAGAUCAUCAAGUGUUGAUGAAUCCAUGAUUAAAAUUACAUAUGCCUUUGGGGGAAUUUCUGCAGCCAUAUCAUUAAUAGUUCUUCCAAUUCCAGCAAUUCGCCAGUACUUUUGUUCAAAACUGGGCAAAUAUCAACUUUAUGCGCUUAUAUGGAGAUGUUAUUUAGUUUGGGUAAACGUUAUGGUUUUGACUCUCAUCGGGCAUAGUGCAUUUAUUUUAUUUUAUCUCAACAAGAUUCUGGAGUAUACUAACGGUAAGCUGGUAUCAAAUGUGAGCAAACUCUGUUUCACUAUACAAUCUCAAAGCAUAAAUUGCUUGGAUUGUUACCUUAGUGGUUUCUCUUUUUUUUGUGGUUUGUGUGCUAUGCGAUAUAUACCAUAGUUUUUAUGGUAUAGCAUAAGUUUCCAGCAAUAGUAACCCGACUAUAAUAAUGUGUCAUUCAUCACAGAGCGCUUUGGAUGGAUCUUUGUCACAGUUAUGCUCCAUGUCUUGACUGCAAUUUCACCCACACGAUUCCCCAGAAAAGUUCCCGAUGUAAUUUACACUACUUUGUUCAUGUAUGGAGUGGCAGGUCUACCAGUGGUCAACUCUGUUUCUCUUGCCACAGAAUUAAUAUUGCAAGUAUACAAGGGGGAGAGAACAGUGGAUGAUUUGCGUGUAAUAGUGCUGCCGUUUGAAAGCAUUAUGUCUGGUGUGUGGCUGGUUUUACAGAUCCAUGCAUACUGGGCAGUUGCCGGGAGAGACGUACAGAAUGAGCUGUAUGCGCUGAGGGACUUUGCGGCACAGUGCACACCACAGCAAGGAGACAUUGGUGAAUCCGAUUUUUCAGAGAAUCACCUUUCUGAGAUCCAAAGAUGUCAGCCAGAGACAGUACCAUUCCUGGGAGAGCAAGAUCUAGAGGUUUAAAUCUUUUAAAUGAUAACGUAACACCAUGUAUGAUGAGCUAAUGUUACCCUACCUAUGCUAACUGUAUUGAAAAAUUAUGCAUUGUACAAUUUGUUGUUUCAAUAAUUUUCAUACAUUGGCUAUGGCUAAUGAAUUGUAUGUAGUGAAAACACUGCUUAAUCUUGUUUUCUCUGUUUCCACCUUCAAAUUGUUAACUUUAUUGUUAUUGUUUAUUCCCAUAGUAAUAAGCUGACUGCAUAGAUUUCUUUAAAAUAUGUUUCACACACAGAUUCACAUUUGAAUUGCAUUUAAAACAUGUGUCUAGAAACAUGAAAAGUGUCCCUAUAAUAAAGAUGUAUCAAUCUGCCCUACCUCCUGAUAU
This 1914-nucleotide long non-coding RNA is filed under the name Sinocyclocheilus grahami. Its description in RNAcentral is "lncRNA (ENSSGRG00000005496.1)". Lineage: Eukaryota; Metazoa; Chordata; Actinopteri; Cypriniformes; Cyprinidae. The record is from RNAcentral.